UACAGAGGGUGCGAGCGUUGUCCGGAAUCACUGGGCGUAAAGGGCUCGUAGGCGGCUUGGUAAGGUUGCGGUGAAAGCCCGGGGCUCAACCCCGGGUCGGCCGUGGCAACUGUCGAGCUGGAGCACUGUAGAGGCAGGUGGAAUUCCGGGUGUAGCGGUGGAAUGCGUAGAGAUCCGGAAGAACACCAGUGGCGAAGGCGGCCCGCUGGGCAGUGGCUGACGCUGAGGCGCGACAGCGUGGGGAGCAAACAGG
Molecule: ribosomal RNA, 253 nt
Filed under: uncultured bacterium
Lineage: Bacteria
Description: partial 16S ribosomal RNA
Rfam family: Bacterial small subunit ribosomal RNA
Source: RNAcentral